ACCGAGUUUACACACUCCCAAACCCCUGUGAACAUACCUAUUGUUGCCUCGGCGGAUCAGCCCGGCCCCGGUAAAACGGGACGGCCCGCCAGAGGACCCUAAACUCUGUUUUUAGUGUAACUUCUGAGUAAAACAAACAAAUAAAUCAAAACUUUCAACAACGGAUCUCUUGGUUCUGGCAUCGAUGAAGAACGCAGCAAAAUGCGAUAAGUAAUGUGAAUUGCAGAAUUCAGUGAAUCAUCGAAUCUUUGAACGCACAUUGCGCCCGCCAGUAUUCUGGCGGGCAUGCCUGUUCGAGCGUCAUUUCAACCCUCAAGCACAGCUUGGUGUUGGGAUUUGCGGAGUAAUUCGCAGUCCCCAAAUCUAUUGGCGGUCACGUCGAGCUUCCAUAGCGUAGUAAUUACACCUCGUUACUGGUAAUCGUCGCGGCCACGCCGUUAAACCCCAACUUCUGAAUGUUGACCUCGGAUCAGGUAGGAAUACCCGC
This 487-nucleotide ribosomal RNA is filed under the name Fusarium sp. MS484. RNAcentral describes it as "eukaryotic LSU rRNA". The stretch from base 150 to 303 matches the Rfam family "5.8S ribosomal RNA". Lineage: Eukaryota; Fungi; Ascomycota; Sordariomycetes; Hypocreales; Nectriaceae. The record is from RNAcentral.